Molecule: long non-coding RNA, 641 nt
Organism: Arabidopsis lyrata subsp. lyrata
Lineage: Eukaryota; Viridiplantae; Streptophyta; Magnoliopsida; Brassicales; Brassicaceae
Exons: 2
Source: RefSeq, a predicted model, not a curated record
UUGCCUACACUACCACUUUUCUAAGUUUUCUUAGCAAAAAUACCACUUUUCUUAAUUCUUUUCUCCCAUCCCACUUUCCUAAAUAGAAAAAGACACUUUUGCCCUCUUUUUUUCUCCACAAAACAACAAAUAUAUUCCUUCCCCUUUUCUCUUUCAUAUCGAUUCAAGCUCUCUCUUUAUCUUCUUUUUUUUUUUUUUUCUUUUUUUCUCUCUCUCACUCCAAAACAAGAUCCAAAAACUAGACAAAAAUUGUUUAGAUAUAAGUUUUGUUUCCAAUUUUUUCCAUCUCUUUGCAUCCCACCAACAUCUUCUUCUCUUCUACAGUUCUACAUCAUUAUUAUGAAGUGUUUGUUGUCUACGAGGGAACCCAAAGACGAAGAUGUCUACUAGAAAACUAAAACUGAAGACGAAGAAAAAGAUGUCUACGAAAAAAGAACAAAAUGUCUUCUAAAAAACCGAAAAUGUUCAUUGUCCAUUAUUCUUAUGUCAAUCAACAUAUAUUGUCUAUUAUUCUUAUGUCAAUCAACAUAUAUUGUCUACUAUUCUUAUGUAUACUCACCACUCCCUUUUUGUCCAUGUCAAGUAGAUAUUACAGAUUUAUUUGUAUUUGUUUUAUAAUAUAAAUAUAUACAUUUGUAAUA